Passer domesticus (house sparrow) is the source of this 423-nucleotide long non-coding RNA. RefSeq lists it as uncharacterized. The transcript is spliced from 2 exons. NCBI's taxonomy places the organism in Eukaryota, Metazoa, Chordata, Aves, Passeriformes, Passeridae. The record is from RefSeq and is a predicted model, not a curated record.
CAGGAGAAAACAGCAGCUUUUAUGCACUGGGAUGAGGAUGCAGUGAAAGCCUUCCUCUGAGACACACACAAAUUCCAGGCAGAGGCCUCUAGGUGCAGGCACAUCCCUGGGAGUGAUGGGGAAAUUCUGCAUCAGCAAAGGAAACUUGCAGGAGAUACCAGGAGCUCAGUCCUUCGCCUUUUAAUUUCCCUUCUGCAGUUCAAGACCACCUUGCAGGAUAGACAGGAGUUGUUGGAGCUCUAGUCAGGCUGCAGAGCAGAGGACCAAGUGCAUGAGAGUGCACUUGUGUCUUGUGAGAGCUGUCAGCAAUACCUCUGUAUUUUCCAAAUAGUAUUUGUCUUCAGUUUUCUUCUAUUACACUGGGGACUGACUGCAGCUGGCCUCCAUGUCUGAGUGGUUAAUAAAGUUGAUUUACACUGUUUA